RNAcentral lists this ribosomal RNA (531 nucleotides) under uncultured bacterium. RNAcentral describes it as "partial 16S ribosomal RNA". It matches the Rfam family "Bacterial small subunit ribosomal RNA", at positions 355 to 900 of the family's 1533-position model. The record is from RNAcentral.
UGGGGAAUCUUGCGCAAUGGGCGAAAGCCUGACGCAGCCAUGCCGCGUGAGUGAUGAAGGCCUUAGGGUUGUAAAACUCUUUCACCGGGGACGAUAAUGACGGUACCCGGAGAAGAAGCCCCGGCUAACUUCGUGCCAGCAGCCGCGGUAAUACGAAGGGGGCUAGCGUUGCUCGGAAUUACUGGGCGUAAAGGGCGCGUAGGCGGAUCAGCAAGUUGGGGGUGAAAGCCCGGGGCUCAACCUCGGAAUUGCCUUCAAAACUGCUGAUCUAGAGUACGGGAGAGGUGUGUGGAACUCCGAGUGUAGAGGUGAAAUUCGUAGAUAUUCGGAAGAACACCAGUGGCGAAGGCGACACACUGGCCCGUUACUGACGCUGAGGCGCGAAAGCGUGGGGAGCAAACAGGAUUAGAUACCCUGGUAGUCCACGCUGUAAAACGAUGAUUGCUAGUUGUCGGCAGGAUUGCCCUGUCGGUGACGCCAGCUAACGCAUUAAGCAAUCCGCCUGGGGAGUACGGUCGCAAGGAUUAAAAA